AGGUACAAAUGAUGUCAAGUGUAAAGACAAGAGAUUGAAGACACCAGGAAAUAUUGAGGCAAGGACCAGGAAUAUUAUUUCCUCAAGGUCACACUGCUAGUAAGAUGUGGUUUCAGGAUUCAACUUCAGGAAAUCUGACUCCAGAACUGUGCUCUAUACUGCUAUUUUGUAUAGUUUGGUACUGCAAUUUCAAAUGUUGGCCUUCGGCUCACAAAAGACCACCAGGGAAAUCUGUAACUAGGCAAUGUUUAUAUAAUAUGGAUUUCUCACUCAUGUGUCCAAGGGAUGGUUUGGUCAGCUCUCAUAAAGGCUUCAUUGAGUUUGGGUCCAUUCCAUUUGUACCAAUUUUGGGCUUUGGUUGAGUGACAGCAGAAACUGGGACCUGUUAUUUUUCAUGAAGGAAAUGGAAGCUUCCAGAGAGAUGGGGUAGAGAAUAUAAAAGAUGAAUUGGAGGGAAAAACAAUUAUCUGAGAAAAUUGAAGGAAGGAAGGAGAGAGGAA
This is a long non-coding RNA of Canis lupus familiaris (dog), 500 nucleotides long. RefSeq lists it as uncharacterized. NCBI's taxonomy places the organism in Eukaryota, Metazoa, Chordata, Mammalia, Carnivora, Canidae. The record is from RefSeq and is a predicted model, not a curated record. The transcript has 4 exons.